CUUAGUAAUAUCGAAAUAACAAACUGAAUACUGACUAGUACCUAUAAUUUAUUGUAUAAUAUGGACGAAAUAGAUGUAUCAUUUAGUAUGAAUGUUUAUGUUUUUGUAGAUGUCGAUCAUAUGAUUGAAACUGAAGGAUCUUAUGAAGAAUUGGUGGAUGUAAUUCCAAAUGAUGACAAUAUUCAAGAAUUAUAUUUCUAAUUAUAGACUGUUAUUGAUUGACAACAACUAUGCUGGUCGACGAAAUAAAUAAGUAUCAUAAUGAAAAAGUAAUACAGUAUAUAUGCCAAGCAAUAAACGAUUUACAUGCAGUGGGGCAUGUCUUAUUGGACAUAGAACUUAUACAUUUAUAUUUUAAAAAAAAUGGGAUUUUCAAUGUUAAUACAAUUACACAUUUAAAAAUAAUAGUGCACAAAUUCAAAAUUCGAUCAAUAAUAAAAAUAAAAUAAAAUGCACAUAUCCAUCAUUACACGACAAAAUGUAC
This is a long non-coding RNA of Melanaphis sacchari, 484 nucleotides long. RefSeq lists it as uncharacterized. The transcript has 3 exons. Lineage: Eukaryota; Metazoa; Arthropoda; Insecta; Hemiptera; Aphididae. The record is from RefSeq and is a predicted model, not a curated record.